AUUGAACGCUGGCGGCAUGCCUUACACAUGCAAGUCGAACGGUAACAGGUCUUCGGAUGCUGACGAGUGGCGAACGGGUGAGUAAUACAUCGGAACGUGCCCGAUCGUGGGGGAUAACGCAGCGAAAGCUGUGCUAAUACCGCAUACGAUCUACGGAUGAAAGCGGGGGAUCGCAAGACCUCGCGCGGACGGAGCGGCCGAUGGCAGAUUAGGUAGUUGGUGGGAUAAAAGCUUAUCAAGCCGACGAUCUGUAGCUGGUCUGAGAGGACGACCAGCCACACUGGGACUGAGACACGGCCCAGACUCCUACGGGAGGCAGCAGUGGGGAAUUUUGGACAAUGGGCGCAAGCCUGAUCCAGCCAUGCCGCGUGCAGGAUGAAGGCCUCGGUUGGUAAACGUAGCUUUGUACGGACGAAAAGACUCUCUCUAAUACAGGGGUGGAAGUGAGGUACCGUAAGAAUAAGAC
This 466-nucleotide ribosomal RNA is filed under the name uncultured bacterium. Its description in RNAcentral is "bacterial SSU rRNA". It matches the Rfam family "Bacterial small subunit ribosomal RNA", at positions 30 to 492 of the family's 1533-position model. The record is from RNAcentral.